UAGAGUUUGAUCAUGGCUCAGGAUGAACGCUGGCGGCGCGCUUAACACAUGCAAGUCGAACGAUGAAGCCCAGCUUGCUGGGUGGAUUAGUGGCGAACGGGUGAGUAACACGUGAGUAACCUGCCCCCGACUCUGGGAUAAGCCUGGGAAACUGGGUCUAAUACCGGAUAUGACCUCCUACCGCAUGGUGGGUGGUGGAAAGAUUUAUCGGUGGGGGAUGGACUCGCGGCCUAUCAGCUUGUUGGUGAGGUAAUGGCUCACCAAGGCGACGACGGGUAGCCGGCCUGAGAGGGUGACCGGCCACACUGGGACUGAGACACGGCCCAGACUCCUACGGGAGGCAGCAGUGGGGAAUAUUGCACAAUGGGCGAAAGCCUGAUGCAGCGACGCCGCGUGAGGGAUGACGGCCUUCGGGUUGUAAACCUCUUUCAGUAGGGAAGAAGCGAAAGUGACGGUACCUGCAGAAGAAGCGCCGGCUAACUACGUGCCAGCAGCCGCGGUAAU
RNAcentral lists this ribosomal RNA (504 nucleotides) under uncultured Arthrobacter sp. RNAcentral describes it as "bacterial SSU rRNA". It matches the Rfam family "Bacterial small subunit ribosomal RNA", at positions 1 to 524 of the family's 1533-position model. Lineage: Bacteria; Bacillati; Actinomycetota; Actinomycetes; Micrococcales; Micrococcaceae. The record is from RNAcentral.